This 723-nucleotide long non-coding RNA is filed under the name Homo sapiens (human). Its description in RNAcentral is "non-protein coding lnc-P2RY1-3:12". Lineage: Eukaryota; Metazoa; Chordata; Mammalia; Primates; Hominidae. The record is from RNAcentral.
AUCAUGUUCCUCGUACACUGCACCAGCACCACUGCUUCCCUUCCCAGUGAGAACCCGAUCAAGCUUUAUCAUGCAGCCCAGAAGGGUGGGGGAAAGAAAAAGAAUUAGGAGAAAAUGUUGUAAAAGUAAUGAGAUAAUAUGAGAAUGUGCUUUGGGAACUGCGAAUCUGGAGUCACUGGUCCAUGAGGAAUCUAGGAUAAGAAGAAGGAAGCUGUGAAGAAUGGUUGGCUAACAGUGCUGGCAAGGAAUUCAGAUCAACAUACCUCUCAAAAGAAUGGAAGUCUCUUAAACUCAGGUAAUUGUUAAAUUGGUUCAAGUGUAUUAUGGCAAGAAUGCUUCUCUCUCCUUCCCUAAUAUAACACUGCCCUAAAUGACUCCCUACCUCCCUGUUUUGUCUCACGCUUGACAGUGAAAACAAAGAUAAAUAUUUGAGGAAACAUAAACUCAAUAAUGUCAUUUAUUGGAAAGCUACAGUUUACAGAUUCUUUGCAUUUAUUACCAGAGCUGUUCCUUACAACAACUUUAUCUGAACAGUAUUAUUAGCUACAUGCUGUAGAUGAGAAAAGCAGUGCUCAACGAAACUAACUUGCCCUAGAGUAUCCAUCCAGUAACUGGUGAAGCUGGGAUUUCAACUUCCUUUUCUUUUUUCUUUCUUUUUUUAAAAAUCUUAAUUCUGAAGCUGUUAUGCAUUAUGGAACCUGUGUAGUUCCGUUCUGAGUUCUA